UAACGAAUCUUCCGCAAUGUGCGAAAGCGUGACGGAGCAAUGCCGCGUGGAGGAUGAAGCGCCUCGGCGUGUAAACUCCUGUCAGGGUCCAGGAAGCCUGACCGGACCCAGAGGAAGAGCCGGCUAACUCUGUGCCAGCAGCCGCGGUAAUACAGAGGGCUCAAGCGUUAAUCGGAAUCACUGGGCUUAAAGGGUGCGCAGGCGGACACGCAAGUGCCUUGUGAAAUCCCACGGCUCAACCGUGGAAUGGCAGGGCAUACUGCGUGUCUUGAGGUCGGCAGGGGCGAUCGGAACUCUAGGUGGAGCGGUGAAAUGCGUAGAUAUCUAGAGGAACACCAAAGGCGAAGGCAGAUCGCUGGGCCGAUCCUGACGCUCAGGCACGAAAGCAUGGGGAGCGAAGAGGAUUAGAUACCCCCGUAGUCC
RNAcentral lists this ribosomal RNA (423 nucleotides) under uncultured prokaryote. RNAcentral's name for it is "bacterial SSU rRNA". It matches the Rfam family "Bacterial small subunit ribosomal RNA", at positions 355 to 796 of the family's 1533-position model. The record is from RNAcentral.